GGUUCUCCAUAUCAAACAAGUACUGUCCACAUGCAGCAAGUUUAUAUAAACAACAACAUGCCUAAUGCAUGCAACAUUUUGCAGUCAUAUAGUAAACACAUUCUUUAAGAUUUUUUUAUCAGCUAUUCUACAGCCCAAUACAAUUCCAGCUGCACAGCAGUAUUGCCAGAAGAACUUGAAAAAAGCAAACAAUGGACAUUUAAGUACCAGCUCCAGAAUGACUACAAAAAUCACAAUAAUCUUCCCAGUUAGCUGCAAGAAUCAACCCCCACCCUGCACAAAACACAGCCCACACCUGCACUGUUAACCAUUUGCAAGUUAAAUAUAAGCAAGACAUUUCAGCAUGGUUAAGAAACACCCUGGCUUACUACAACUUUGAAAGGAUGAGGAGUAAGAAGCAUACCACAGAGACCCAGAAAAGGCUGCUUUUUUCUUCAUUGAACACAGAAAAGAUACCCCAUGUUCCAGGCAAUUAAAAAAAUAAAAAAUAUGUAUAUAUAUUAAAACACACCCACCAACACUGAGUAAAAAUAAAAAAAAAACCAAACAAACAGGGGGGCUUCAAGAAGACUGCAGGGAAAAAGCUCUCACUCUCUUUAGUGUGCAGAAGCUUAGGGGGAAAAAAUGUCGCCCUGGCAGGAAUGACAAAUGCAGUAGGAUAGGCUAGCAGGCCUGAGGGAUCUGUUUUACUUCCACAUACAUCCUCUAAUGCACGCACUCCCACUCAUCCUCUCGAGAUGCCUUUUUUUUUUCCCCCCACUUUUUUUUUUCACUAGCUCCAAAUCCCCGGCAUAUGACCUUCUGUUAAAUAGAUAAAAAAAAUUUGCUUAUCAGUCAUGCAAAUGAGGCUGAAUUCAUUUUCCACAACAGAUGGCCUCAUAGAUAAUGAUGAUGGAAGAGAGAAAAUUGAAUGUCUCUCACAAGGUGGUCAUGGCAACCGAGAGCAGAAUAAUAUCAAUAAUAAGCUCACUGCAUAAUAAGGUUGUCAAUCCCACAAAUCAAAGUCUCCAGCUAAAUCAGGUAUCCCACCCCCCGCUAGUUAUCAAGUAAAUAGAGAAAUAGAGAGCAUCCUUUUUCUUUUUAAACAAGACACUGGAAAGAAAUUGUAGCUCCAGAGCUUCCAGGGUAAGAGGGGAAAGAAGGAGCAGAAAAAAAAUUUUCUCCAAUAAUUGUGUUUUAUUUAAUGAUUCUGGGAGGGGGGUGUUGGAUAUUUGGAUAUAUCUCCUUUUUUACCUUUUUUUCUUUUUUAUAUUAUUACUUCUUUAUUACUUCUACAGAGAGGUUUUUGUUUGUUUGUUUGUUUUUGUUUCUUUGUUGUUUGUUUGGUUUUGAUUUUUUUUUUUUUUUUGAAGGGGAGUACUGGUUUGUUUUUUUAAUAGUGAGGCUGGUAUUUUGAACUCUAUCUGCUGCCGAAGCCUUGCCUCCCCUCCCUGUGUCUGAUGUGGAGUGCUGCAUUGAUGCAAUAGCAGCUCGCCUCAGGCUUUCACCUUGGCUCCCAGGGGGCCAUCCCGCAAAAUGAAUCAGCAGCCAUCCUGAGCAGACUGAUUAAAAUGAAAAUGGCAAGGCACAUGUCUGGGCGGAACUAGAGCUGAGCUGCGCUGCACUGCCUGUCUGGCAAGCAUGCUCAAUAUAGCUUUUGCUAAUAAUGGCUUACCGCCUUUCGGGUUUUUAAAGGUAUUACCGUCGACCCUUCCCCCACCCCCUAAACAGAUAACGCUGCUGGGGGCUUUCCCCCCCUUCGCUGUAUACUGCUCACAGCUAGACUUUGCCAGACUGACAUGCAGUGAUUGUGAAAAGACACACUUGCUUUGCAAGGAUUUUCUUCACAGAUGUGCUGAAAUACCAAGAAAACAUAUUAACAUGCAGCUAUAAAUUAUUCCCAGAUAUUAGCUGAGAAAGAAACCUCAGAUGAAGAGGAAAGCUCAGCCACUACCAGACACACCAUUUUCACACACACACCACCCCCCCGGCCCUGGUUUUUACACCUCAGCUUGCAUUGGCACCUUGUGCAUUAUGCAUCAGGAGAAAAUGACUGCCAGUAAACGCAGAGCAGCUUCCUGGAGCUCUCUCUGCCCUGUGCUUGACACACUCAAGCUGGAUCUCCAACCCCGCCACAGUCCCUAAGCAGAUGAAUAUGUGCAUUAAAAAAGAGCCAUUUAAAGUGCACAUCUCCUGUAGUCCUUUAACAAAACAGAAAUAUUUUGCAGCCAACUCCGGUGUGCAAACCCAGCAUCGACAAAGCAUCAGACAUUAAUCCAUGUGUGUGGGGGAUCUGAAACCUGGGAAGACUGUUGUUUCAUGAGAUUUGGGAAUUGCUCUGCCUGGGGAUUUUUGGUGGUGUUUUUUAAGUAAGCAGCGGCAUACCUCUGGAAACUGGCCUGUAUGUGCUAUACAUAAGCACAUACACCCUGAUGUGUCUUCGGUUAAGAAGAUUGGGAUUAUUUCCUCCCCCCCGCCCCCCCCCUGCUUUCUUCUCCCCCUGCCCUGCACUCUAGUCCUGUUACUGCAGUGUGAACCAGAAAUCAAUAAGGCUACUCUAAUGGAGGUUCCAGCUGCAGUUGGCUGUGCAGGCGCGCACACACACACACACACACACACACACGCACACACGCACACACACACACACACGCACUGACGUCUGUGCAGUUUUCUCAGCCGAUUGGGCUCCAAAUCGGAUGUUCCGUGAAGCAAAGAAAAGGAAUCAUUUAUAGUCUGGAAAAAAAUAUGGUACCUUGCAUCUCCCUGUCUCCAAGAGCAUCAGGCUGGGCUGGCUGCGCAGGCUGGCUGCAGUGUGUGAGUGAGAGCUCAGCUCGGGGUACGGGCAGGUACUGGACGACUCCCCCAGAUUACCACAGAAACUGACGGGGCACAGAACCCUACAAUUCAUACAGGAUGUUUUUAUAAGGCUACCCAUUCAUAUUAUGAAAGAUAAAAACAUGGACACAGAAAAACCAACACAAAAAAUCACAGCAGUUUAACUGAUCGAUUAUUAGAGCUCUUAUGUCCUUUGAUGUGUUUGCAAGUAUUUCUGAGCUCUGAAGAGUAUUUUAAUGAAAAAUUUAUUUUUAAGGGCUUAGAAACUAUCAAUUGAACAUUUAAUAUUUUGUUGUAAAUUGCUUGCUUCCCUCUUCUUCAAUAGAAGAAUAUAUAAUUUGUUGAAUAUUAGACUCCAGUUCAAUUUUUUCUAUGUUCUUCAAGUAAUUUUUAUAUAGAUAGUUAUGUGUGAAGCCACUCCUUGUUACUAAAAUAUAUUUGGGGUUUUCCACUUUUAAACAAUGAACCUCAGGCUUGGUUCCCUGAUCCUGCAGCUGUUUUUCUCUGAAACAAGAAACAACUCUGUUAGUGAACAUAUAAAAAAAUCCUAAUUCUCUACUCCUAAAAUUAGGUAUUCCUGGGAUCUACGACACCGCAAAACACCUCCCCCACCUCCCUACCUAUGUAUUUCAACUUCAGUGUAUUGAAAGCCACUGCCCCAGCUGAAGUCUGGCUCCAGUGAAGUAUUUAUAUUCCUUCUACUCAGCCCUGUGGAUCUUUUGCAGGGCUCAGGAUACCAACCCAAGACCUGCUCUGGAGAAAUAAAGUCUGGAAAAUGAAUGAAUCAUAAAGCUAUAUUGCAUGACAAAGUCAUAUCCCAGCCUAUGUUCAAUAGUUCUUUCUUAUGCAAGCUUUAAAAAAACCCAUGGUUUAAAAAUUAUGGCAUAUGGCAGGUUACUAAGUAAUGGACUUCAGGAAACCUUAGAACAAAAGGGAAGCAUAGAAAUCCACCUCGCCUUAACAUCAGCAAUUACACCACCACAGUACCCCCUCCCCAAAUAUUUAUCUAAUCUCUGCUUUAAUUAUUUAUACUAGUUGCUUUUUUUCUGCUGUCCUUAGCAUUUUGGAGCAUAUAUUAAUUGUUCUUGGUUUCUCUGUGUGGAGACAUUCUGCCUAGGAUUUUUUCCCUCCCUCCUGCCCAAUCCCUAUUAAGUUUUAACCCCUUUUCUACUGAACAGAAAGCUUAGGCUGUGUGAGUACUGUAAUUGCUUUCAAGAGCUACAAGGUGUCUUGCCCAGCCUAGCAGUAGACUAUUUACCAGACUGAUAAACAUAGCAUCAUUGGUAAAUGUUAAAGCACACAGUUUAACUAUUGUCCUAGAAUAUGAAAUUAGAGUCUGAAGUAUAACCUAAAUGCUAAAAUGUAUUCCUUUUUUAUAUUGCUUUUAUGAAAAAAAGCAUAUUUCCACAUAAUGAAGCUACUAGGGUACUACCAACUGGCUCACACUGUGUUUAUUAAUAUCAGUGAAAAUGAACAGUGGCAACUGCCCAAGGAUAGAAAGCCCUUAACAGUGCCACUAAUCCUUACAUUCUUUAAUCUUCCCUAUCUUUUCCUAACGCUGGCAUUUAGCAUUCCCAGAAACACCAGCUCAGGGCAUUAGGACAGCCACUAAGCCUGAGCAGUUGCUGAGUAUCUGUACAUCAGGGAGCUGCUUUUUUGAGCUGAAGUUGAGCAACCCCUCUGGUAGGGACUGUAGCUCAGUCCCUACCUCCAAAUACAUGAGUAUCUGAAAAACAAUCCUUCCCAGUCUGUAAGAGUAUUGUUAAUAUACUUAUAAUUUCUGGUAAUUUUCCCAUCUUAAUGAUUUUUGUUAAAGCAGCAGGUUAGUGUUAACAGAAUCAUAGAAUAGUUAAUGUUGCAAGACACCACAGUGGGUCUGAUCAAGCAGGGCCAUCAUAGAGCCCAUGGCACAGGAUGGUAUCCAGACAGCUCUUGAAUAUCUCCAGGAAUGGAGACUCCACAGCCUCUCUGGGCAAUCUGUUCCAGUGCACAGUCACCUGCACAGUAAAGAAAUUCUUCCUCAUGUUCAGGUGGAACUUUCUGUGCAUCAGUUUCUGCCCAUUGCCUCUCGUCCUAUUGCUGGGCACCACCAAGAGGAGCCUGGUCCACCCUUUUGAUACUCUCCCUUCAGAUACUGACAGACAUUGAUGAGGUCCCCCCUCAUCUCUUCUGGAGGCUGAACAGGCCCAGCUUCCUCAGCAUGCCCUCAUAAGGGAGAUGUUCCAGUCCCUUAAUCAUCUUUGGAGCCCUCCAUUGGACCCACUCGAGGUGCUCCAUGUCUCUCUUGUCCUAAGGAGCCCAGAAUUGGACACAGCACUCCAGAUGUGCCUCACCAGGGCUGAGUAGAAGGACAGGAUCACCUCCUGUGACCUGCUGGCAAAGCUCUUCCCAAUGCAACCCCAGGAUACCUUUGGUCUUCUUGGCCACAAGGACACACUGCUGGUUCUUAGCAGCUUGUUGUCCACCAGGACCCCCAGGUCCUUCUUCACAGAGCUGCUCCCAGCAGAUCAGACCCCAGCCUGUGCUGGUGCAUGGGGUUGUUCCUCUACAAGUACAGGACCCUGCAUUUGCCUUUGUUGAAUUUCACAGUUCUCUCCAACCCAUCAAGGUCCUUCUGAAGAGCUGCACAGCCCUCUGGGAUACCAGCCACUCCUCACAUAUUUGCAUUGUCAGUGAACUUGAUGAGGUGGCAUCUGCACCUUCAUCCAAGUAAUUGAUAAAUAUGCUCCACAAUAUUGGGCCCUGUAUUGAACAUCACUAGUGUGAGGCCUCCAACUACACCCUGUGUCACUAUGACCCUCCAGUAAAAGGUUAUAUAGGUCACUUUGAUGAGACUCAGCAGAACAUCUUGCAAAUGCUGCUCCAGUACAGCACAGGAACAUGGUAGAAUGUACAUCUAAAAAAGUGUUAAUGUAAAAGUCAAAAUGUAAAUACAGGUAGCCUCAGAGGAAAAUAAUUUAUUCUACUUCAAGCAGACCUUGUCUCACUCAUGAGACAAAAUACAGUUCACAGUGUAACCAAACUAGUAAUUUACAGGCAUGUGGAGCAUAAAUAUUCUUUAGUAUCUAAAGUGGGGUGCACUACUUUGUUCUUGCAGUUAUAAAGCUAUAUAUAUUUAUAUCUAGUGUCUGGUCCCCAUGAACCACUGAGUGAAAAACCCAAAAUAUGUAUGGAACUGUAUGUGCAAAAAUCCCAUAGAAUAUGGAGUAACUGCUUGUUACUCAUAUUGUAUGAGUAUGUUACUCAAAUGUUACUAAAAUGUUAGCCCUCAAGCUAACAUUUUCCUCAAAUACAUGGUCCAACAUAUCCAAAGCCAUUACAAAUGUGUAAAGUAAUGGGACCAAAUGCCCACUCCAGCCAAAAUGUUGGUGGCUCCAUUAAAACAUUUACCCUGAGCAUUAUCCAUUUGGCACCUAACAUAUGAAGAAACCAUUUUACUGUCUAGAACUAUACAAAGACUUAGAAUUAUUUUGGAGAGAAAGCACCUAAAGUAGCAGGUAUCUCCAGGAGGACAGCUUCAGAAUAUUCACACUGGAGUUUUCAUUUAGGCAGUACUUAUGAUAUUUGGCAAAGGAUUCUGAGCAGUGUUUUCAUCAGUGUUGUUGGUCUUACCUGCUCAAAAUUACUGAUCUUGUCUUUAAGGUAUUUCCAUGAAGUUGCAAAUUUUGCCCAUGCUUCCGGUUGGUAGAAUGCAAACUAUCUGGUCUGGAAGCCAGUUAGACAUGGUGAAGUUAAUAAAAGGCCUGCCAGCUAGAAGAGUCAUCUGAAAUAGGUGAUGACUAUGUUUACUCAGGAUAGACAAGAGUCCUAGUCCCACUGGAUAUGGAAACUGUAAAAUACUCAUACAUUUGAGUCACCUAAAAAAAAAAAUAUUAUGGAUACAGGAUAAAAAUUGCAGGAAAGAGUUAUAAGCAGUAAUAUGCCUUUGUUUUUUCCCAUUGGCUUCAGCAAGAAGGAGGAGCAAGCCCACAGAGCUAUUAACAGACUGGAAAACUCAGAAUUAGAAAAAGGCAAUAAAAAUUAUGGAAAUUGAAUGAACAGCUUAUGAGAAAAUAUUAAAAAUUAAGCUCAUAGAAUGCAAAGACAAACUGAAAGAAAAGCAGAAACCUCAAGGAUGGCAGAAGGUCCAAAA
This is a long non-coding RNA of Taeniopygia guttata (zebra finch), 6946 nucleotides long. The record is from Ensembl. NCBI's taxonomy places the organism in Eukaryota, Metazoa, Chordata, Aves, Passeriformes, Estrildidae.